Molecule: long non-coding RNA, 410 nt
Organism: Anneissia japonica
Lineage: Eukaryota; Metazoa; Echinodermata; Crinoidea; Comatulida; Comatulidae
Exons: 2
Source: RefSeq, a predicted model, not a curated record
AUUAGAGGGCAGUGUCCUACAUCGGUUUUCUACACGUCCGGUAAGAUGGUCACUAUGAAUCAAAGUCAUAUGUUGAACCAGCCGUCUCUGGACUUUUCAAGUACAUAGUGCUAGCUAUUUCACCGACAACGUUACAAGAGAUAGCGAUAAAAGACAUAUUUAAAGAAUUGUAUAUUAUUAGAAAACACGGACUUCAAAGACAAAACAUGUAUAUACACAAUUUUCGCUAAAUUUGAAAUGAAAAUUUCCGAGAACCUGACAACUACCACUGGAAGGCAUCCAGAGGCCUAGGUAUUUUGAUCUGCGUAGUUACCAUGGCCAGUGUCUAUCUGUGCAUGCUCUGUGACUGGUGCACGAGAUUGUUGUAGAGGCGCCUAGGCUAGUCUUUGAAAACAAAAUAUAAUAAAAAA